UACGUAGGGUGCAAGCGUUGUCCGGAAUUAUUGGGCGUAAAGAGCUCGUAGGCGGUCUGUCGCGUCGGCUGUGAAAACUUGGGGCUCAACCCCAAGCCUGCAGUCGAUACGGGCAGACUAGAGUACGGGAGAGGAAAGUGGAAUUCCUGGUGUAGCGGUGAAAUGCGUAGAUAUCAGGAGGAACACCGGUGGUGUAGACGGCUUUCUGGACCGUAACUGACGCUGAGACACGAAAGCGUGGGUAGCAAACAGG
This 253-nucleotide ribosomal RNA is filed under the name uncultured bacterium. RNAcentral describes it as "partial 16S ribosomal RNA". It matches the Rfam family "Bacterial small subunit ribosomal RNA", at positions 524 to 776 of the family's 1533-position model. The record is from RNAcentral.